Molecule: long non-coding RNA, 400 nt
Filed under: Homo sapiens (human)
Lineage: Eukaryota; Metazoa; Chordata; Mammalia; Primates; Hominidae
Description: HSALNT0305822
Source: RNAcentral
AUGUAAACUCCACUUUUGUAUGCACUGGAAAACCAAAAAGCUUGUGUAACUGGCUUUAUUUCCCUAUUUGCUUUUAUUGUGGUAGUCUGGAACAGAACCUGAAAUGUCGCCCAGGAAUGUCUGUCUUUUCUACUGAGAUGGGAUCUCACUGUGUUGCUGAGGCUGGUCUCCAACUCCUGGCCUCAAGCGAUCCUCCUGCCUCGGCCUCCCAAGGCACUGGGAUUACAGGCGCAGCCACUGAGCCCACCUGAAAUCGAUGCUCUUAUACAAAUAUUUGCACAACUGCGGCCCACACCCAUUUGUUGUCCUUUGGCUUGGUCGCACUGCAGAAGAUAAAUUUGGUGUGAAUGCCGUGGUUAGCUUCUCAGCCAUGUCCUUGAUGGCUUCUGGGCUUUGUUUU